CCUACGGGUGGCUGCAGUUAGGAAUCUUCCACAAUGGACGAAAGUCUGAUGGAGCAACGCCGCGUGCAGGAUGACGGCCUUCGGGUUGUAAACUGCUUUUAUAUGGGAAGAUUAUGACGGUACCAUAUGAAUAAGGACCGGCUAACUACGUGCCAGCAGCCGCGGUAAUACGUAGGGUCCAAGCGUUAUCCGGAAUCACUGGGCGUAAAGCGUGCGUAGGCGGCGUGUUAAGUGAGGUGUUAAAUCGUGUGGCUCAACCAUAUCGAUGCAUUUCAUACUGGCACGCUAGAGGAAGGCAGAGGCAAGUGGAAUUGGCAGUGUAGCAGUGAAAUGCGUAGAGAUUGCCAGGAACACCAAUGGCGAAGGCAGCUUGCUGGGCCUUUUCUGACGCUGAGGUACGAAAGCGUGGGGAGCGAACAGGAUUAGAUACCCUGGUAGUC
Molecule: ribosomal RNA, 440 nt
Filed under: uncultured bacterium
Lineage: Bacteria
Description: bacterial SSU rRNA
Rfam family: Bacterial small subunit ribosomal RNA
Source: RNAcentral